CGGCAAACCAGAUCAAUUUCCUGGUGAUCUUUACUCCAGCAUUCUGAUCGUUAUUAAUUGCUACAUAUUACCGUUUUUUUUUUAAAUCAAUGUUUGUUUACAUUAUCAACAAAUGUGAGUAACAAUCUAGGUCGAGUUGUCGAUCGUAGUGUAUAGUUUGUUCCAAACCAUUGUUGGUUUCUGGUACAGGUUGGCAGUUGUUUAUCAACAAUAAAGUUGUUGCAACUAAAACACAUGCUAUCUU
This 244-nucleotide long non-coding RNA is filed under the name Mytilus galloprovincialis (Mediterranean mussel). Lineage: Eukaryota; Metazoa; Mollusca; Bivalvia; Mytilida; Mytilidae. The record is from RNAcentral.